Rosa rugosa (rugosa rose) is the source of this 1731-nucleotide long non-coding RNA. RefSeq lists it as uncharacterized. NCBI's taxonomy places the organism in Eukaryota, Viridiplantae, Streptophyta, Magnoliopsida, Rosales, Rosaceae. The transcript has 5 exons. The record is from RefSeq and is a predicted model, not a curated record.
UACUAGAAAUCUGUUCAUAGACAUCACAUGUUUUAAAUCGGUCAGACUUGCCCACGAUGUAAAAAAGUAAUCUAACAUCGUUUUACGAAAAUACCGAUUUAAAUGUAUGUCAUUAACACCAGUUCUUAAAAUGACCGGUGUUAAAAGUUUAGUUCGAAAAUUUGCGGGAACCUAUUUUUGCAAAAAAACGCUAAGUUUUUAAGUGAAAUGAAGAAGCGGGGACUAAAACUCAAAACUUUCACACUUAGAAAAAAAAUUGCGCCCAAAUAGAAACAGAUGGAAAACCCUAAUGUUACUCUCCCUCGACCUCCUUCAUUCUGAACUCCUCCCAAACUAGAUCUCCUCCCAAACUCGACCUCCAUUCUGGACCCUAAGCUCACUCGAACUCGCCGCCAUUCUGGAGCUCCUCAUUGCUUCCUUCAUCUCCCUCUCUCUCCCUCCCUAGUUUCACAGGUAGCUAGCUCACACAAAUCGAGCCAUGGCUCCUCCCAGUAUUCUCGGUCCUCCCGAGUUCCACAAACCCUCACCCACCACCACCGCUCCGCGCGCCACCCCAACCCAAAUCCAAACCCGACUCCAAACCCACCACCGGCGAAUCCUUCGUGGACCUGAUGGUGGCGAAUUUCAACGACGUCGGAACCAAGCACGACCUCCCAAUGGGCCUGACGGAGAACGACUCUGCCACGUUUCUCUCCACCGGCAACCCCUGCCUCGAUCUCUUCUUCCACGUCAUCCCAAACACUCCAGGCGACUACCUCACGUCCUCACCGAUGGGACUCCAAUGGUGGCCAGUGUCGUGUCACUGGAUUCUUCCUUUAUCGCAAUCACUUCAUCUUCUUCACCUUCAUAUUCUUCUUCGUUUUUAACGAAACUAAGGCACGCGCCGAGUCUGUGACUUUGUUUUGCAGUCACGCCCUUGAGUGGGAAGAAGCACAUGGCUCACACAAUUGCUCACAUCACUCUCGGCCUCACUCAGAUUUCUUCUGUCUUUGAAGCCCCAAAGUGAUGUUCUACAGGUAGAGGUUCUGGGCUGUUGGUUGGGCUGAUUGGGAAAAGGUGAAGUUUUCAAAGGUUGAAUUGCUCCCAAAAGGCUUGGAAAUCCGGACUGAAGUUUUCAAAGGUGAACUUUUUUAUUUUUUGCGUAUCUUGAACGAGGUUGAGUAUGUUAUACUGUUUCCACUCAAUAUUUGGAGUGCGAAAUCUUGCCAAUGUUCUCACACCUGGUUCAUUUUAGCUUUACUAUUGCCAUUUUGGUGGGCCAUACUUGUAAUUUUUAUGUUGAUUGAGUUAUAUCUAGUAUUGCUAUGUGCUUGCUUCCUCGAAGGCUUGGAAAUCCGGUUUCAAUUGCUCGCAACAGGAUUGGAAAUCUGGUUUCUUUCACAGAAGAUUUUCCUCUGCUGAACUUGCUACGAGGACUGGUAUAAUCUAGGUGGUUUUCAGGUAGGAGGUGGGAUCAAUUCAGAUAAUUCUUUGCAAUACAUAGAAGAAGGGGCUACCCACGUCAUUGUCACUUCUUAUGUAUUUAAUAAUGGGCAAAACCUUGAAAGGCUUAAAGAUCUUGUUCGUGUUGUUGGAAAAGAAAGGCUUGUUUUAGACCUUAGCUGUAGAAAGAGGGAAGGUAAAUAUGCAAUUGUCACAGAUAGAUGGCAAAAGUUCAGUGACGUGUAUCUUGACAAGGAAAUAUUAGACUUCAUUGCCAAGUAUGCAGACGAGUUUCUGGUACAUGGUGUC